RNA transcript from Patella vulgata (common limpet), 6653 nucleotides. It is a transcript of the gene named sodium/hydrogen exchanger 9, with no coding region annotated. The transcript is spliced from 20 exons. The record is from RefSeq and is a predicted model, not a curated record. Lineage: Eukaryota; Metazoa; Mollusca; Gastropoda; Patellidae.
AGUGGCACAUCACGUUUAUAUUCCUCUGUCUUAGUGGGAGUUUUCUGGAAACGGCCCCUAUAUCAAAUGUAUUGCUGUUUACUAUAAACUCUGAACAUGGCUAAUUUAUGUAAAAAAUAUGUUAUUGUUGUGUGUGUACUAAUUAAUUUGGCAAUGCUAUGUUUAGCUGACGUUAAACCAGAGAAUCUAAAACCAUCGAUAGAUGUGAAAGAGGAACAGAAUGUCUCCAAACAUCAUAAAACGGACAGUUUGACAAUACUUAUGUUGUUGGCCCUACUGUUACUUACAAUAUUGACAAUUUGGUUUUUCAAAUAUCGACGGUUCCGUUUUGUACACGAAACUGGUUUAUCAAUGAUUUAUGGUCUGAUAGUUGGAGCAAUUAUAAGAUAUGCUGGUCCACUUGGUAAAAAGCCAGAUUAUGCUAAGGCUGCACUCAUCAAUGGUACAUUCUACGCCAAUUCUCCACCUGAGACACUUUUUCUGUCUUUACCAAAUUUUAAUGACACCACAAAUGAAACUAUUAAAUAUAAUCUAAUAGGAAAAGUAUACUCAACUGAACCUGAUGGACUUUUGGAGAGAACUGUGACAUUUGAUCCAGAAUUAUUUUUUAAUGUGAUGUUACCGAUUAUUAUAUUUGAAGCUGGCUAUAGCAUGAAAAGGAGACAUUUCUUUAAAAAUUUAGGGGCAAUUAUGUCCUAUGCUUUUAUUGGUACAACUAUAUCAUGUUUUGCUGUUGGUGGUAUAAUGUUUGGAUUAACUAGAUUAAUGUCAAUAGAUUUCUCUCUCAAUGAUUGUUUUUUCUUUGGUGCCAUAAUAUCAGCUACUGAUCCAGUAACUAUACUGGCUAUAUUUAAUGAUCUAAAUGUGGAUGUAGAUCUAUAUGCUCUAGUAUUUGGUGAAAGUGUAUUAAAUGAUGCUGUAGCCAUUGUCUUAUCAGGGUCUGUGGAAAAAUAUGGAGAAUUGUCUGCAGGUAGCUUUGAUUCAAAAGCUUUUUUUGGUGCACUGGGCAACUUUGCUGCAAUAUUUACUGGAGCUUUUGCAAUGGGAUCUUUAAUGGGUUGUAUUACUGCUUUGAUUACUAAAUUUACAAAGAUUCGUGAUUUUCCAUUGUUAGAAACAGCUCUAUUCUUUCUCAUGUCAUACAGCACAUUUCAAGCUGCUGAAGCUGCUAGUUUCACUGGUAUUGUUGCAGUGUUAUUCUGUGGUAUAACCCAAGCUCAUUAUACAUACAAUAAUUUAUCUUUGGAGUCAAAGCAAAGGACAAAACAGUUAUUUGAAUUGGCCAACUUCUUGGCUGAAAAUUUUGUGUUUUUGUAUAUUGGUGUGUCUGUUUUUACGUUUGAAGCAUUGAAAUGGCAUGCUGGCUUUAUAUUCACAGCUAUCUUGGGUAUUAUUGUAGGAAGAUUCUUGAAUGUUUAUCCUGUAUCAUUUCUACUCAAUCUGGGCAGAAGUAAUAAAAUUAAAUUCAAUUUUCAGCAUAUGAUGAUGUUUUCAGGAUUAAGAGGAGCCAUAGCGUUUGCUUUAGCUAUAAGGAAUACAUCUUCUGAUUCCCGUCAGUAUAUGGUAUCAGCUACAGUGAUAAUAGUAUUGUCUACUGUGAUAUGUUGUGGAGGUUUAACUACUCCUAUGUUACAAUGGUUACAAAUCAGGGUUGGUGUAGAUGAAGAAUUAGAUACUAUACAGACUGCAGAAAAUACUAGAUCUGUUAGUCAGGCUAUAUCUACACAGAGACAAUACAGCACCAUGGGUCCUUCCGACCAAGCAGCAGCUCCGACACAAAACCAACCGACAACAGAAACAGAAAAUAAUGGUACUAAGAAAUAUGAAAAGGCAUGGCUGGUUUUAAAAUGGUAUAACUUUGAUACCAGGUACAUGAAACCACUAUUGACUAAUAGUCGACCAACUUUAAUGGAAACUUUACCCCAGUGUUGUCUUCCACUGGCUAAAUUAUUAACUACUGAGGAACAAAUGUCUCAAGGAACUACAAAAGAAAGAGAGGAUUCUGAAUCUGAUACAGAUAUGAUAUUAGAUCACAGUCAGUUAUCUAUGGGUGAUUCCAUGGAAACAAACGGUGCCAUGCCAUCAUCCAUAAACAGUAUUAAUGCGGAUAGAAAAUCAAAUAUACCGAAUGAAGAUAUGCUUGUACGAUUGGAUAGCGAUGACAGUCCCAUAUUCCCAUGAACUAAUACACUCUACCAAAGUUGUUUCUAAUUCAAUUAGAAGUAGAAUUUGUAUGAGGAACACCCGGGAGGAGAUUUGGGAUUGGGUCAUGCAGCUCCUGUUAGUGUCCGUGUUAAUAUUCAAGGAGGACCUGGCCACAAAUUGUGAUAGGAUGAACACUGCAAAGCAAGUUUGGUCUUACACCACAAGCUAUUCGUUAUUCCAUGCAUAAAAUUGUUUUAUUUUCCAAAAACAAUCCCAAACAUCAAAAGCAUCAUACACUUGUUAUUUUUUAUGUCAUUGUCCCAUUUUGAUAAUAAGACCAUAUUUAUCAUGUGUAGGCAACAGUCCCAAAGUUUGUACACAAAAACGGUAUCCUUUGUGAUAGUCUUUUUUUUUAAGCAGAGAAUGUUAAUAGAACCAUACACUGUUUAGCUUUUGUUUGCAAAUUUAAUGUAGAGUUCCUAUGUAUACUUAUUGUUGUUUAUUUUUAUGUACAAAAUAUAGAGUUAUAUGUAAAAAAUAUAUUCCCCCGAACAUAAUUACACUAUCUGGUCGACCCUGGAUAAGAAACCUCAUAAUUCAACCCUCUGUGUUUCGAGAUAAGUGAUAAUACUAUAUAGUUUUACCUGGCAAAACCCCAGUGCUAAUCACACGGGGAUUCAAACAGUAAAACGUUCAAUUUUGUCUUCAAAACAACGAUUGAUUAUUUAUAACAUUUCUACCAAAUCCAACUACAGUUAAUAAUUAAGCAUAUAAUCCUACCUGACACGAGUACAAAUCAUCUCUUUUAAACUGAACCGAUAAUGACUGACUUUCCGGCAUUUUAAAUUUGACAUCUUUAUGUUAUGGAGGCGGGGCUAAAAUAUGUCAUGUACAACAGCCAUCAAAAGACGCGAAAGUAGGAUAACGUUUAUAGGUCGCAAGAAUGGUUUUGUCAAUUCUGUUAGAAACACCGCUUGAUAACUUGACUGUCAAUAUUUACAGAUAACCGAAAGUUGUUUAACUGCAUUCGUCUUGGUAUGUUUAACUAGUCUUAAUAGUAAAAUUAACUAUUUUUAAGAUGUUACAUGCAUUAAUAAAGAAAUUAAAUCGGCCAGGUGAAACUAAAGGCAUCCAGUCAUAGCUAAAAACAAGCGCAUCAGUAUAUCUCAACGUUUUUAGCUACACUCUCUUAGCUAGGUCGACUCACACAACUUUUUUUUUAUCUGAAAGUUCGAUAUUUUUAGCUUAUACCAUAAAAGACCUUAUUCAUCACAGAGCUCCUACCAUCGUGUCUGCCGUUGUAUUACUAAUUACUAACACUUUCCCGGUAAUGCCACUACUCCUCCAGUUAUGUGAUUCCCAAUUAUAGAAGCUAUGUUUCUGGUAACAAAUGUAUUUUUCCUGUUAUAAACAUAGGCCUAUUUUUUAAAAAAAAAUCCUUAUCGAGAGUUAUGCAUUUAGGGUUGUGACUGUCGAGGUAAUAUAUUUUUAUUGUUAAAUGUUCAAAAUAAAUAUAGGAUUGAAUAUUCCACAACCCAAAAUGUGUGGCACCAUAAAGACCUAUUUAUAGCAAAGUAAAAUGUUUUAAAUAUUUUGUGGAUGUUGUAUUAAUAAUGUUGUCGAACGCAGAUAAAUUUGAUUGAUGCUUUACCGUCGAUGUUACAUGUUUUGGAGAGACAUUGGAAUUUGACGUCUUAUAAAUGAAUAUUAAUGAUAUCUCAAACUAAAUGUUACGAACUUGCACACCUAAUGGACAAAGUUGGUGUCCACCAAUUUUAUGUGUGUGAUAGAACUGGAUAGAACACAUGCCAAAUAUAAUUUCAACAUGGAGAUCUUUGCUACAGUUGAUUCCUAACUACGUUUUGAAAAUUCAGCAACCGAAUCGAAGUGGAGAGAGUAAAUAGAGAGAGCCGUAGGCUACGCACUGACGAAUUGUUGUUCCGGAUCAACCAUAGCAAGUAUAUGUGUUAAAAUUAUAUUUGUUAUAUGCUAACCAUUUCUAUCAUUUAUGUAAAAUUAGUGGACACCAACAUUAUCCUUUUAACUCUUCACAUCAUCGUUGAAUAUCCCCUUCUUUCAACUACCCGAUUUUAAACCAUAUUUGGACAUGGUUUAAAUUGACCAAGUAUGCGUUUGGAUUGGCUAUCAUAGAAACGACAUCGCGGGCAAAAAUAUCCUCAUUAUAUGAAAUCAAGUUCUACCCGUGUACACACACAUUCUCAUGAUAGCGUGUUGUUCAUUACACGUGAUCAGUUAUUUUUUGAGAACUAUGCACGCCACUAUGGCAACGUGACGUAAAUUAGACCAAAGCAUCUCCAGUUUUUGAAUAAUUAAGUGUCAGUUGUGGAUAUUCAACGUUGGCAUCACCUGAAGUUCUGAGACUGUCCUAUAUACCAUAAUAUUUAUAUUGUAUAAUAUGUAAUCCCUUUUUAUCUUAUGUUUACUUAAUUUUUGUUAUAAUGUUAUUAUGUAUUUUAUUGUUGAAGUUAUGAAAGGUUAGAGUUUAAAUGAAUUUUAAGAGUGAAUUAGUCAAAUUGCUUAUAAUAUAUAUAUAACUGUUAUAUUACUCACAGGGGAAAUUUUAAAUAAAUAUAUUAAUGAAAUCAUAAUUUAUGCAUAUUAUGUGAUAUUUUUUAUUCCAAAUGUCAUAUUGUAUCAUACAAUUGGUAAGAUUGAUAUUAGAACUAAAUGUUGUAUAUUAUUUGCUGAAUACUUACAUUAAUUUAGACUUAUUAAUUAUAAACAUGGAGUCUUCUAAUUUAUAUGCCAGAUUAAACUGCAAAUAUACUUUCAGAUAAUAUAUAAAAAGGGUCUUUUUCAAAAAACAUAUUGGUUCAUUUAUUAGAUAGAGAAUUGCAAUUGUUUUAACAAAAUCAUUUAGUAGAAAAUACGGUUAAUUACUCAUCUUUGAAAGCGAAACAACAUUUGAUUUUUGGGAGUAUGGUCUUAUUGCCCUAAAACUUUGAAAUGUAUUAUUCCAAGCCCGAUUUGAAGAUUUGUUCUCAAGUUCAGUCUAUUUAUCUUUACAGUUCAUAAUUGAAUUUAAAAUUCAAGAUCACUUGACUGUGUAUCUCAUCUCAUUUUUAUAUUUUUUAUCAAACUUUAAUUGCUCCACACCAUCGUGUUUUUUUUUUAUUUUGAGUGUAUUUUCUAUUUUAGUGUUUGUGCAUAAGUCAACCAUUGUUUACCUAUGUAAAUCUCCACAGACUUUCGAUUGUCGUUAUUGUGUCUUAUUUAUUGGUUUUGUUACAUUUUAAUUAAAUGUAUAUUAGAUUGUAUCGAAAACUAAAGUCUUUUGCUCGGAUGUCAACUCUGGAUUUCACGCAAUGCUUUCAUUAAUUUUGCUUUUGUUCUGACAUAUGGCUGAGACCAACGGAACAUUGUAUCGACUACCAACAAAUGUACUGCGUUAUUCCGAACUGAUGUCAGAUAAAAACAAGGAUAAUUGUUUUGGCUGACGAAUCAUACACAAAAUUAGUAGCAAAUAUACGUAAUUGACCAUCAAGAUUCUAAACGUUAAAGAGGGCAAUCGGUUUUCAAAAAUAUAUCUCUAUAAGAAUCAAUCAAAAUACUCAUGAGUUGAGUUCUAUUAAUUAUAAAACUGUCUAGGAAUAAAUCAAAUUAUUUCAACAUGGCUUUAAAUAAAAGGCAGGUACAUUUGUUUUGUUGUACAUGUAUUUCUAUUUUAGUGAUUGUCAUGUUCUUUUACCUCUGUAAAUCUUUACAAUUAUUACUAUAUUAUAUUUAAGACUUCGUGUCAUUUCAGUGUAUUUCCUGAAUGCACAGUUAUAAUUUAAUGUGUGAUUUGGGGUGACAGUUGUUUCACAAAAAUAUUCUCCUUUAUUAUAUGUUAUUUAUUGAUAUUAUAUUACAUUGUAUCGAAACCACUAUCUCUGGCUCUGAUGUUGAGUCUGUAUAACACAUAACGAUGUUGCUAUUUCUUGCUUCUGCAACAGGAUUUAGACCAUUGGAAAAUGUAUCGAAUACCAACAAAUCUAGGAUUUUUAUCCGUAUUGACACCUACAUAAAAGUUAAUAGCAAAAACGGAUAAUGUAAUGAGCUAUCAAGGGUCGGUAUUCAAAAAUAUAUCAAUAUAACAGACAAUCAAAAUCUUCACUUAUUUUAUUUCUAUAAAAAAAUAAACGUGUCCAGGAAUAAAUCAAAUUAUUUCAACAUGUACUUUAAAUCAAAGAAAUGUACAUCGAUAGAGUUAUCUCCCUUUGUACGGUUUAUUGCCAUUACUUGCAGGGUCAGGCUAACCCUAAAACUGAAAUCACAACAGGAUAAACUGAAUUUGAACAGUUAUUUUUUUUUUCAUUUUCGGUCAAAAGCUCCCAAAAUGCCAGAAUUACCUGCGUUUGUUUUUAAAACAGUUGCACGUUCGUUUUGUCAUUUUCCCAUUUUCGCCUAUGUUCUGUUAUUUCUGAAUAUGAUGUGUGUGUGUUUGUUAGAAUAUGAAUUAUGUAUAUAUACUUAAAUAAUAAUAAAUAAAGCUUGUUUUUAAACAA